Molecule: ribosomal RNA, 549 nt
Filed under: uncultured bacterium
Lineage: Bacteria
Description: bacterial SSU rRNA
Rfam family: Bacterial small subunit ribosomal RNA
Source: RNAcentral
UGGGGAAUAUUGGGCAAUGGGGGAAACCCUGACCCAGCGACGCCGCGUGGAGGAUGACGGCCCUCGGGUUGUAAACUCCUGUCAGGUGGGAAGAAGGACCAUUCGGCUAAUACCCGGAAGGGAUUAACGGUACCACCAAAGGAAGCCCCGGCUAACUCCGUGCCAGCAGCCGCGGUAAUACGGAGGGGCAAGCGUUAUUCGGAUUUACUGGGCGUAAAGCGCACGUAGGCGGCACUGUAAGUCAAAGGUGAAAGCCCUCGGCUCAACCGAGGAACUGCCUUUGAAACUGCCUUGCUUGAGUCCGGGAGGGGGGAGCGGAAUUCCCAGUGUAGCGGUGAAAUGCGUAGAUACUGGGAGGAACACCGGUGGCGAAGGCGGCUCCCUGGACCGGUACUGACGCUGAGGUGCGAAAGCGUGGGUAGCAAACAGGAUUAGAUACCCUGGUAGUCCACGCUGUAAUCGAUGAAUACUAGGUGUCGGGGAUUUUUUUCUUCGGCAUCGCAGCAAACGCGUUAAGUAUUCCGCCUGGGGAGUACGCUCGCAAGAGUG